GACGUAGGGGGCCAGCGUUGCUCGGAAUUACUGGGCGUAAAGGGUUCGUAGGCGGUGUGGUAAGUCGGAAGUGAAAUCUCUGGGCUUAACUCAGAGGCUGCUUUCGAAACUGCCGCGCUAGAGUGCGGGAGAGGCGAGUGGAAUUACAGGUGUAGCGGUGAAAUGCGUAGAUAUCUGCAGGAACACCCGUGGCGAAAGCGGCGCGCUGGACCACUACUGACGCUGAGGAACGAAAGCUAGGGGAGCAAACAGG
Molecule: ribosomal RNA, 253 nt
Filed under: uncultured prokaryote
Description: partial 16S ribosomal RNA
Rfam family: Bacterial small subunit ribosomal RNA
Source: RNAcentral